Molecule: ribosomal RNA, 254 nt
Filed under: uncultured bacterium
Lineage: Bacteria
Description: partial 16S ribosomal RNA
Rfam family: Bacterial small subunit ribosomal RNA
Source: RNAcentral
GACGAACCGUGCGAACGUUAUUCGGAAUCACUGGGCUUAAAGCGCGUGUAGGCGGGGCGGCACGUCGGUCGCUGAAAGCCCCCGGCUCAACCGGGGAACGGGCCCCGAUACGACCGCCCUCGAGGGACGUAGGGGGACCUGGAACUUCCGGUGGAGCGGUGAAAUGCGUUGAGAUCGGAAGGAACGCCCGCGGCGAAAGCGAGGUCCUGGACGUCUGCUGACGCUGAGACGCGAAAGCCAGGGGAGCGAACGGG